RNAcentral lists this ribosomal RNA (262 nucleotides) under uncultured bacterium. Its description in RNAcentral is "partial 16S ribosomal RNA". It matches the Rfam family "Bacterial small subunit ribosomal RNA", at positions 524 to 783 of the family's 1533-position model. The record is from RNAcentral.
UACGUAGGGUGCAAGCGUUAAUCGGAAUUACUGGGCGUAAAGCGUGCGCAGGCGGUCUGUUAAGACCGAUGUGAAAAUCCCCGGGCUUAACCUGGGAACUGCAUUGGUGACUGGCAGGCUUUGAGUGUGGCAGAGGGAGGUAGAAUUCCACGUGUAGCAGUGAAAUGCGUAGAGAUGUGGAGGAAUACCGAUGGCGAAGGCAGCCUCCUGGGCCAACACUGACGCUCAUGCACGAAAGCGUGGGGAGCAAACAGGAUUAGAU